CUUGUGGCGUCAGAAACAGCCUCCUGCGAGACUCUGCACUUGCUGAACGUGCGCGAGCGAUUGGCGCAUGCUCAGUAGCAAGUCUGGAAGCCGUUGCUCACACUCUGCCCUGACCCUCAGUUUCUGCUCCCUGAGCGAAGGGCGGGAGAAGAGCGGGGCCAAAAAGCGGAGAGAAUUCUGUGUAGCAUCCAUCACCAUACCAUCUGAGACACCAAUCCUUCAAACACUUAUGAAUGUUCCUAAUGUUAUGCAUGACCUAUUGAGGUCCCUUCCAGUCCCAUGAUUCUAUACAGGUCUAGUUGCAGAGCUUCAAUGACUGCCACUGCCACAGUAGCUGGUGAUGCUGUGAUGAAGAUGAGACAAACAAGAAGGAAGAAUGGAUGAUGCAGAAAGUACAUAAAAAUUGCAAGGUGCUGUUGGCAUUCGCUGACGAGGUCCACGUGGUCGAGUGGCACUUCUGGGCCCAUGAAAUGGGGCUGAAGUGGUGGGACUAUAUUGUGAGGCAGAUCUGAGAUGAGCAGUAGUUGCUGUAGAACUUUCAAAUACAAAGGCCACUUUCCUAGGGUUGUGUGGUGAGCUCGUCUUAGCCCUCAAUUGCAGAGACAUCAGAAUGAGAGCUGCUUUGACCAUAGAAAAGAGGGUGGUGAUUGUGCUCUAGAAGUGUGCAAUCCCAGGCUGCUAUUAGUCCAUGGUGGGGACGUUUGUCAU
Mauremys mutica (yellowpond turtle) is the source of this 708-nucleotide long non-coding RNA. RefSeq lists it as uncharacterized. The transcript is spliced from 3 exons. The record is from RefSeq and is a predicted model, not a curated record. Lineage: Eukaryota; Metazoa; Chordata; Testudines; Geoemydidae.